AGUUUGAUCCUGGCUCAGGAUGAACGCUGGCGGUAUGCUUAACACAUGCAAGUCGAACGGAGUACUUAGGUACUUAGUGGCGGACGGGUGAGUAACGCGUGAGAAUCUGGCUUCAGGUCGGGGACAACCACUGGAAACGGUGGCUAAUACCGGAUGUGCCGCAAGGUAAAAGGCUUGCCGCCUGAAGAUGAGCUCGCGUCUGAUUAGCUAGUAGGUGGGGUAAAAGCCUACCUAGGCGACGAUCAGUAGCUGGUCUGAGAGGAUGAUCAGCCACACUGGGACUGAGACACGGCCCAGACUCCUACGGGAGGCAGCAGUGGGGAAUUUUCCGCAAUGGGCGAAAGCCUGACGGAGCAAUACCGCGUGAGGGAGGAAGGCUCUUGGGUUGUAAACCUCUUUUCUCAGGGAAGAACACAAUGACGGUACCUGAGGAAUAAGCAUCGGCUAACUCCGUGCCAGCAGCCGCGGUAAUACGGAGGAUGCAAGCGUUAUCCGGAAUGAUUGGGCGUAAAGCGUCCGCAGGUGGCUAUGUAAGUCUGCUGUUAAAGAGUGAGGCUCAACCUCAUAAGAGCAGUGGAAACUACAUGGCUAGAGUGCGUUCGGGGUAGAGGGAAUUCCUGGUGUAGCGGUGAAAUGCGUAGAUAUCAGGAAGAACACCGGUGGCGAAAGCGCUCUGCUAGGCCGCAACUGACACUG
Molecule: ribosomal RNA, 696 nt
Filed under: uncultured bacterium
Lineage: Bacteria
Description: bacterial SSU rRNA
Rfam family: Bacterial small subunit ribosomal RNA
Source: RNAcentral